RNAcentral lists this transfer RNA (90 nucleotides) under Ralstonia pseudosolanacearum. Its description in RNAcentral is "tRNA-Asp". The record is from RNAcentral. Lineage: Bacteria; Pseudomonadati; Pseudomonadota; Betaproteobacteria; Burkholderiales; Burkholderiaceae.
GUUUGCCCUGCUGCAGCCGGUGGUGGGCGGCCUGUCGGACCGCGUGGGCCGGCGUCCGAUCCUGAUCGGGUUCGGCGUCCUGGGCACGCU